This 558-nucleotide ribosomal RNA is filed under the name uncultured bacterium. Its description in RNAcentral is "bacterial SSU rRNA". It matches the Rfam family "Bacterial small subunit ribosomal RNA", at positions 8 to 561 of the family's 1533-position model. The record is from RNAcentral.
AGAGUUUGAUCCUGGCUCAGAACGAACGCUGGCGGCGUGCCUAAUACAUGCAAGUCGCACGAGAAAGUCCUUCGGGACGAGUAUAGUGGCGCACGGGAGAGUAAUGCAUAGGAACGUACCUUUCGGUGGGGAAUAACCACGGGAAACUGUGGCUAAUACCGCAUUAUGACGCGAGUCUAAAGAGGGCCUCUAUUUAUAAGCUCUCGCCGAUCGAGCGGCCUAUGUCCCAUUAGCUAGUUGGUGAGGUAAUGGCUCACCAAGGCGACGAUGGGUAGCUGGUCUGAGAGGACGAUCAGCCUCACUGGGACUGAGACACGGCCCAGACUCCUACGGGAGGCAGCAGUAGGGAAUUUUGCACAAUGGGCGCAAGCCUGAUGCAGCAACGCCGCGUGAGUGAAGAAGGCUCUUGGGUUGUAAAGCUCUUUCGGACGGGAAGAAGGGGUAUCCCUCGAACAGGUGGAUAUUCUGACGGUACCGUAAGAAGAAGCACCUGCUAACUUCGUGCCAGCAGCAGCGGUAAUACGAAGGGUGCAAGCGUUGUUCGGAAUUACUGGGCGU